RNAcentral lists this ribosomal RNA (253 nucleotides) under uncultured bacterium. RNAcentral describes it as "partial 16S ribosomal RNA". It matches the Rfam family "Bacterial small subunit ribosomal RNA", at positions 524 to 776 of the family's 1533-position model. The record is from RNAcentral.
UACGAGGGGGGCGAGCGUUGUUCGGAAUUAUUGGGCGUAAAGGGUGCGUAGGCGGUUUGGUAAGUCUUGUGUGAAAUCUACAGGCUCAACUUGUAGUCUGCACGAGAAACUGCCGGGCUUGAGUGUGGGAGAGGUGAGUGGAAUUCCUGGUGUAGCGGUGAAAUGCGCAGAUAUCGGGAAGAACACCCGUGGCGAAGGCGGUUCUCUGGGACGGUACUGACGCUGAGACGCGAAAGCGUGGGGAGCGAACAGG